GCCCGUGUGGCUCAGUGGAUAGAGCGUCGGCCUGCAGACAGAAGGGUCCCCGGUUCGACUCCGAUCAAGGGCA
Molecule: transfer RNA, 73 nt
Filed under: Myotis davidii
Lineage: Eukaryota; Metazoa; Chordata; Mammalia; Chiroptera; Vespertilionidae
Rfam family: tRNA
About the family: Transfer RNA (tRNA) molecules are approximately 80 nucleotides in length. Their secondary structure includes four short double-helical elements and three loops (D, anti-codon, and T loops).
Source: Rfam by way of RNAcentral